CCGGCGCACGGGUGCGUAACGCGUAUGCAACCUACCUUUAACAGGGGAUAACACUGAGAAAUUGGUACUAAUACCCCAUAAUAUCAUAGAAGGCAUCUUUUAUGGUUGAAAAUUCCGAUGGUUAGAGAUGGGCAUGCGUUGUAUUAGCUAGUUGGUGGGGUAACGGCUCACCAAGGCUCCGAUCGGUAUCCGGCCUGAGAGGGCGGACGGACACACUGGGACUGAGACACGGCCCAG
RNAcentral lists this ribosomal RNA (237 nucleotides) under uncultured bacterium. RNAcentral's name for it is "partial 16S ribosomal RNA". It matches the Rfam family "Bacterial small subunit ribosomal RNA", at positions 95 to 334 of the family's 1533-position model. The record is from RNAcentral.